UGACUUACAUGCAAUCAACAAGUAGGUCGCGAUCUUGCACGUUGCGGUCAAGAUUGUCAAGAUUUAAUGACACUGUCAGUUUGGAAGGACGCUACUGCUAUCUCUUCUAAAGCAGCAGGACGAACCCACACUUAUUCCUUUUUAGCGUUUCCGUGAUUGACAGCUGAUUGUGAAGGUAGCGUGUUAAUCUGAAUAAAGACAUCUGGCUUGGUGGGUUACCGGUUACCGUGACGAUGCCACCAGGAGCUGUACCAUUCCCGUUUGGAGACUGUCGCAUCUGUAAUGACAGAGCCACUGGAGUACAUUAUGGUCUUGCCACUUGUGAAGGUUGUAAGGGCUUCUUCAAGAGGAGCAUCCCCAAGGGAGAUAAGUACAAGUGUUUCUUCGGGGGUCAGUGUGUAAUCACUCCACAGAACAGGAACCGUUGUAAGUCAUGUCGCUACAGGAAGUGUCUGGAGCUCGGCAUGUCAUUCGAAGCUGUGAAGAUGGGUCGAAUUCCGAAGAUGGAGAAACAGAGAGCUCUAGACGCUGCCAGGAACCCUGGUAACUGUACGGAGUCCCCGGACAGUGGGAUAGACGAUGAGGUGUUCAACCCUGUCACAGGUCAUGUGACCAAUCAGUUGACCAGUCAGUUAAAUAAUCAGUUGACCAAUCAGUUGACUAAUCAAGUCACCAGCCAAAUGUCCAAACUCCUCAGCAGUGAUGUGGCUCCUCAUCAACAUCCUGCCUAUGGAAACAGCCCUCGUGAAGUGAGCCAGCUUCCGCCCACUUACCAACACAUGCCCUCCCACAUGUUCAAUGAAGCGUUUCCUCCUGUACCGUGGGAUGAUCAUAUUGGUAGUUAUUCCGAGCGAAAAGAUCAAUCCAAAGACAGUCAUCAUGUGGAUGACCUGGACGGAUCAGGCACGUCUAAUAUGAACUUACUGGCGGAAACUGCCUUGUUGCCAAAGAUGUCCAAAAGCAGUGUUCCAGAAGACGGUGAUGACAGCAACGCAUCCAGCAGUAGCUGUUCCAUGUACAGCCCGAACGUCAUCAAGGUCUUGUUCAAUCAGGUUGUGGAGAUGACGGGCGGCACCAAGGUGCCUGAGAUGGUCAUUGAGAAACUAGCCAAGAAGUGCCCAAACAAUAGCAGCAUGCGUCUGCUGAAACGUCUCUCCAGUGAAACUUACAUCAAUACUUCUACGCAAGGAGAAGACAUGAGUUCUGUUCACGAUGGAAUGAGCGAGUCAGGACAGGAGUGGUCUCCCUUGGCUGGUCAGUUGUUUACAUCAAGCGGAUGUCCGUCGUCGAAUUGGACCAAAACUGGUUUAAAGCAGAACAGCUUCAGUCCAAGUGAGCAGCAGCCGAGAUAUUUUGACAGUUCUGUCUUCCCUCAUAGUGAUAAUCCUGCAGAUAGGAUUGACACGAAACAGGGACAUCAUAUCGAUGCUCAAUACGUUGCUAGCAGUGACACCGACUACUACACCAGAGAACAGACAGACCAACAAGUGCAUUCUUUUCAUCAAGACACAUUCAUGCAUAACCCAUCUUAUCCGGUUCAAGGUCACAAUGAAGGUCAAGAUCAUGAAUGGCCAAUGGAUUGUUCUGCUACAGUUUCAGCGCAAUAUAGCAGUCACACUGAACCCUCUUGGUCACAUGGUCAGGAUCAACCAAUCACUUCAACUGAUACAGAAAUGAUACAGGGCAGUGACACCAAUGACAGAUCUGAUGAUAUUGAAACAGAAAAUGGUGAAAGUUCGGCAGAAGACAUUUUCAGUAGAGGUGGUGAAGAGGCAUUUGAUUCAUUAGUUAGAGGCCUGGAGAAGGCGCUGGAGGUCGGCAGUGGACCAUUCCAAGAGGCACGACACCAUGCCCGCGCCUUUAUCAGCCAGAAGCUUCCAAUGCCGAGGGAAGAAAUAACAGAAGAAACUGUGAAGGACACGUGGAACCAGCUGUUCCGCGGAAUUCACACCACUAAUGAGAGAAUCAUAGGUUUCUGCAAUGCUGUUCCUGGCUUCUCUAAGCUCAACGUGGAUGACCAGAAGAUGCUGUUGAAGCGAGCCUACUACGAUAUCUGGAUGCUAACAUGCAGUGAGUUCUUCGUUGAUGGAGAGUCGUAUCUGCGCUUCCCCAAUGGGAGGUACUACAACCGCUUCUGGAUGGAGUUCGUCAUCAAGGUGGACAACGUCCGACUGCUGUUCUCCUUUGCGGAGAUUUUCAACAAACUCCAACUGUCAGAUUUAGAGAUUGCCAUCAUCGCAGCUAUACAGCUGACAUCUCCCAGACCUGACAACCUUGAGUUGAAGGAUUCCGUUGCAAUUCAGAAGCUCAACUCUGUCUACCUUGACCUCCUUGUCCACAUCAUCACCAAGCGCAACCCUGACAACAGCAGCCGCAUUCUUGUCGACAUCUUCCGACUCCUGCCACAGCUAGCAGAGGUGAACAAGAUGCAGCAAAACCUUAUUGCAAACUUCACACACGACUCUCCACCGAGUUAGCUAGAGGCCACACAAGACUGUCCACCGCGUUAGCUGAAGACCAUCCAGUUAGCUACAGGUCACACAAGAUGCCUCGUCCAGUUAGCUACAGGUCACACAAUAUGCCUCAUCCAGUUGGCUACAGGUCACACAAUAUGCCUCGUCCAGUUAGCUAAAGGUCACACAAUAUGCCUUGUCCAGUUGGCUACAGGUCACACAAUAUGCCUCGUCCAGUUAGCUACAGGUCACACAAUAUGCCUCGUCCAGUUAGCUACAGGUCACACAAUAUGCCUCAUCCAGUUGGCUACAGAUCACACAAUAUGCCUCAUCCAGUUGGCUACAGGUCACACAAGAUACUUCGUCCAGUUAGCUACAGGUCACACAAUAUGCCCUGUCCAGUUGCCUACAGAUCACACAAGAUGCCUCAUCCAGUUGGCUACAGGUCACACAAGAUACUUCGUCCAGUUAGCUACAGGUCACACAAGAUACUUCGUCAUGCUAGCUACAGGUCACACAAUAUGCCCUGUCCAGUUGCCUACAGAUCACACUAUGCCUCAUCCAGUUGACUACAGGUCACACAAGAUACUUCGUCCAGUUAGCUACAGGUCACACAAGAUACUUCGUCCAGCUAGCUACAGGUCACACAAUAUGCCCUGUCCAGUUGCCUACAGGUCACACAAUUUGCCCUGUCCAGUUGGCUACAGGUCACACAAUAUGCCUGUUCCAGUUAGCUACAGGUCACACAAUAUGCACUGUCCAGUUGGCUACAGGUCACACAAUUUGCCCUGUCCAGUUGGCUACAGGUCACACAAUAUGCCUCGUCCAGUUGGCUACAGGUCACACAAGAUGCCUGUUCCAGUUAGCUACAGGUCACACAAUAUGCACUGUCCAGUUGGCUACAGGUCACACAAUAUGCCCUGUCCAGUUGGCUACAGGUCACACAAUAUGCCUUGUCCAGUUGGCUACAGGUCACACAAUUUGCCCUGUCCAGUUGGCAACAGGUCACACAAUAUGACCUGUCCAGUUGGCUACAGGUCACACAAUAUGCCUUGUCCAGUUGGCUACAGGUCACACAAUAUGCCUCGUCCAGUUAGCUACAGGUCACACAAUAUGCCCUGUCCAGUUGGCUACAGGUCACAUAAUAUGCCUCGUCCAGUUGGCUACAGGUCACACAAUAUGCCCUGUCCAGUUGGCUACAGGUCACACAAUAUGCCUCAUCCAGUUAGCUACAGGUCACACAAUAUGCCCUGUCCAGUUGGCUACAGGUCACACAAUAUGCCUCGUCCAGUUGGCUACAGGUCACACAAUAUGCCUCGUCCAGUUAGCUACAGGUCACACAAUAUGCCCUGUCCAGUUAGCUACAGGUCACACAAUAUGCCCUGUCCAGUUAGCUACAGGUCACACAAUAUGCCCUGUCCAGUUGGCUACAGGUCACACAAUAUGCCUUGUCCAGUUGGCUACAGAUCACACAAUAUGCCCUGUCCAGUUAGAUACAGGUCACACAAGAUGCUUCGUCCAGUUGGCUACAGGUCACACAAUAUGCUUGUGUGCAUGCAAGGUGUUCACAGACUCUGCAUGCUUUGCUUGUGUAUUGUUAUAUCAGCAGUCCAUGUGUAAUGUGAUGAAUACAUGCAUAAUAGAUUAUUAUAUUAGAUUAUAUAUUUGUUAUAAUUAUAUGAGACAAUGUUAUGAUUAUAUAAGAAUUAUCAUAUUUUAUAUAUUAUACACAAUCAUGUUUGUCAAUGUUUUCACAUAUUAUAUAACAUCACUUGUGUAACAUCACUUUUAUGACAUCACUUGUGGACCAUCACUUGUGGACCAUCACUUGUGGAACAACACUUUUAUGAUAUCACUUGUGGACCAUCACUUGUGGACCAUCACUUGUGGAACAACACUUUUAUGACAUCACUUGUGGACCAUCACUUGUGGACCAUCACUUGUGGAGCAACACUUUUAUGACAUCACUUGUGGACCAUCACUUGUGGACCAUCACUUGUGGAACAACACUUUUAUGACAUCACUUGUGGAACAUCACUUCUGUAACAUCACUUGUGGACCAUCACUUGUUCUGUGUGUUGUUACUGACCGUGCCUUUUCAAGACAUUUUUAAAUCCUUUGUAAAACCAGUGAGAUGAAUUGUUAUCAGAUAUGAUACUAUCAUAAUGUUGUUAUUUUCUUAUUAAUUGUUUUGUUGUUCUCAUGAUAUUCUGAUAUUGUUGUAAUGUUCUCGUGUUUUAAAUAUUGAGAUUAGUUUCCAUGUCCUUGAUGGAAACAUGUUUGUAUUUCCGUAUCAACAUGUAGAUAUAUAGAUAUAUCAUUGUCCUGACAGUGGUACAUGUAGAUAUAUCAUUGUCCUGACAGUGGUACAUGUAGAUAUUUAGAUAUAUCAUUGUCCUGACAGUGGUACAUGUAGAUAUAUCAUUGUCCUGACAGUGGUACAUGUAGAUAUAUAGAUAUAUCAUUGUCCUGACAGUGGUAUAUUUAGAUAUAUCAUUGUCCUGACAUUGGUACAUUAGAUAUAUAGAUAUAUCAUUGUCCUGACAGUGGUACAUGUAGAUAUAUAGAUAAAUCAUGGUCCUGACAGUGGUACAUUAGAUAUACAGAUAUAUCAUUGUACUGACAGUGGUACAUGUAGAUAUAUAGAUAUAUCAUUGUCCUGACAGUGCCUCAUGUGGAUAUAUCAUUGUCCUGACAGUGGUACAUGUAGAUGUAUAGAUAUAUUAUUGUCCUGACAGUGGUACAUGUAGAUAUAUAGGUACAUGUAUAUCAUUGUCCUGACAGUGGUACAUGUGGAUAUAUAGAUAUAUCAUUGUCCUGACAGUGGUACAUGUAGAUAUAUCAUUGUCCUGACAGUGGUACAUGUAGAUAUAUAGAUAUAUCAUUGUCCUGACAGUGGUACAUGUAGAUAUUUAGAUAUAUCAUUGUCCUGACAGUGGUACAUGUAGAUAUAUCAUUGUCCCGACACUGGUACAAGUAGAUAUUUAGAUAUAUCAUUGUCCUGACAGUGGUACAUGUAGAUAUAUCAUUGUCCUGACAGUGGUACAUGUAGAUAUAUAGAUAUAUCAUUGUCCUGACAGUGGUAUAUUUAGAUAUAUCAUUGUCCUGACAUUGGUACAUUAGAUAUAUAGAUACAUCAUUGUCCUGACAGUGGUACAAGUAGAUAUAUAGAUAAAUCAUGGUCCUGACAGUGGUACAUUAGAUAUACAGAUAUAUCAUUGUACUGACAGUGGUACAUGUAGAUAUAUAGAUAUAUCAUUGUCCUGACAGUGCCUCAUGUGGAUAUAUCAUUGUCCUGACAGUGGUACAUGUAGAUGUAUAGAUAUAUUAUUGUCCUGACAGUGGUACAUGUAGAUAUAUAGGUACAUGUAUAUCAUUGUCCUGACAGUGGUACAUGUGGAUAUAUAGAUAUAUCAUUGUCCUGACAGUGGUACAUAUGGAUAUAUAGAUAUAUCAUUGUCCUGACAGUGGUACAUUAGAUAUAUAGAUAUAUCAUUGUCCUGGCAGUGGUACAUGUAGAUAUAUAGAUAUAUCAUUGUCCUGACAGUGAUACAUGUGGAUAUAUAGAUAUAUCAUUGUCCUGACAGUUGUACAUGUAGAUAUAUAGAUAUAUCACUGUCCUGACAGUGGUACAUGUAGAUAUAUAGAUAUAUCAUU
This 6110-nucleotide unclassified non-coding RNA is filed under the name Haliotis rufescens (red abalone). RNAcentral's name for it is "uncharacterized LOC124122879, transcript variant X2". Lineage: Eukaryota; Metazoa; Mollusca; Gastropoda; Lepetellida; Haliotidae. The record is from RNAcentral.